GAGAGAGGAGGCGCUGAGGAGAGAGGAGAUCAAAAGAGGAGAAGAGGAAGAAAAGGAAGAGUGCAGCACGCUGGUGUCUCCGUCCACAGAUGACCUGGACGUGUCUCACCCUUUUCACCUGUCUCACCUGUCUCUCAUUGGUUGGCGUGACGACCGUCUGCUCAGCAGCUCAGCCGCUGACCUCAGCCUGCUGCCGUACACUACCCACAAUGCCUCUGUGAGUCCAGGCAGGCCUCCCCGCCGCUCCUCCUCCCCCUCCCCCCCCCCCCCCCUCCCUCCCUCUGGUCUACAGCAUCCUGGUGGAGGACAAACAGCCUCGUUACAGCCUGAGGAGCCGAAGGUCAGAGACUCGCUGAAGGAAACAAACGUUUCUUCAACGUUCAUUCAUUUUAAACGCUUUUUUUUAAUGAAUGUCAAUAA
Molecule: non-coding RNA, 420 nt
Organism: Plectropomus leopardus (leopard coralgrouper)
Lineage: Eukaryota; Metazoa; Chordata; Actinopteri; Perciformes; Serranidae
Source: RefSeq, a predicted model, not a curated record